AGAGUUUGAUCCUGGCUCAGAUUGAACGCUGGCGGAAUGCUUUACACAUGCAAGUCGAACGGCAGCACGGGGGCAACCCUGGUGGCGAGUGGCGAACGGGUGAGUAAUACAUCGGAACGUGCCCAGUCGUGGGGGAUAACGUAGCGAAAGUUACGCUAAUACCGCAUACGAUCUACGGAUGAAAGCGGGGGACCGUAAGGCCUCGCGCGAUUGGAGCGGCCGAUGUCAGAUUAGGUAGUUGGUGAGGUAAAGGCUCACCAAGCCGACGAUCUGUAGCUGGUCUGAGAGGACGACCAGCCACACUGGGACUGAGACACGGCCCAGACUCCUACGGGAGGCAGCAGUGGGGAAUUUUGGACAAUGGGCGCAAGCCUGAUCCAGCCAUUCCGCGUGCAGGACGAAGGCCUUCGGGUUGUAAACUGCUUUUGUACGGAACGAAAAGGCUCUGGUUAAUACCUGGGGCUCAUGACGGUACCGUAAGAAUAAGCACCGGCUAACUACGUGCCAGCAGCCGCGGUAAU
RNAcentral lists this ribosomal RNA (521 nucleotides) under uncultured bacterium. Its description in RNAcentral is "bacterial SSU rRNA". It matches the Rfam family "Bacterial small subunit ribosomal RNA", at positions 8 to 524 of the family's 1533-position model. The record is from RNAcentral.